This 425-nucleotide ribosomal RNA is filed under the name uncultured bacterium. RNAcentral's name for it is "bacterial SSU rRNA". It matches the Rfam family "Bacterial small subunit ribosomal RNA", at positions 9 to 416 of the family's 1533-position model. The record is from RNAcentral.
GAGUUUGAUCGUGGCUCAGGACGAACGCUGGCGGCGUGCCUAACACAUGCAAGUCGAGCGGAGCCAUCCGAACAAACCCUUCGGGGGGCGAUCGGGGAAGCUUAGCGGCGGACGGGUGAGUAACGCGUGAGUAACCUGCCCAUUAGUGGGGAAUAACACAGAGAAAUUUGUGCUAAUACCGCAUACGAAGUAAAAAGCGCAUGCUAAUUACUUGAAAGAUUUAUCGCUAAUGGAUGGACUCGCGUCUGAUUAGAUAGUUGGUAGGGUAACGGCCUACCAAGUCGACGAUCAGUAGCCGAACUGAGAGGUUGAUCGGCCACAUUGGGACUGAGACACGGCCCAGACUCCUACGGGAGGCAGCAGUGGGGGAUAUUGCGCAAUGGGGGAAACCCUGACGCAGCAACGCCGCGUGCAGGAAGACGGCC